Molecule: ribosomal RNA, 664 nt
Filed under: uncultured bacterium
Lineage: Bacteria
Description: bacterial SSU rRNA
Rfam family: Bacterial small subunit ribosomal RNA
Source: RNAcentral
GAAGGGCGGUGUGCUAUAAUGCAAGUCGUACGCACUGGCCCAACUGAUUGAUGGUGCUUGCACCUGAUUGACGAUGGAUCACCAGUGAGUGGCGGACGGGUGAGUAACACGUAGGUAACCUGCCCCGGAGCGGGGGAUAACAUUUGGAAACAGAUGCUAAUACCGCAUAACAAUAAAAGCCGCAUGGCUUUUAUUUGAAAGAUGGCUUUGGCUAUCACUCUGGGAUGGACCUGCGGUGCAUUAGCUAGUUGGUAAGGUAACGGCUUACCAAGGCGAUGAUGCAUAGCCGAGUUGAGAGACUGAUCGGCCACAAUGGAACUGAGACACGGUCCAUACUCCUACGGGAGGCAGCAGUAGGGAAUCUUCCACAAUGGGCGCAAGCCUGAUGGAGCAACACCGCGUGAGUGAAGAAGGGUUUCGGCUCGUAAAGCUCUGUUGUUGGAGAAGAACGUGCGUGAGAGUAACUGUUCAUGCAGUGACGGUAUCCAACCAGAAAGUCACGGCUAACUACGUGCCAGCAGCCGCGGUAAUACGUAGGUGGCAAGCGUUAUCCGGAUUUAUUGGGCGUAAAGCGAGCGCAGGCGGUUGCUUAGGUCUGAUGUGAAAGCCUUCGGCUUAACCGAAGAAGUGCAUCGGAAACCGGGCGACUUGAGUGCUCGACUGA